Long non-coding RNA from Equus asinus (donkey), 1596 nucleotides. The record is from Ensembl. NCBI's taxonomy places the organism in Eukaryota, Metazoa, Chordata, Mammalia, Perissodactyla, Equidae.
GUUAGUAGGUGCUCAGUGUUUGUAGAAUUAAACGGAAUUUAUUUUAAAAGGCAGACAGGGGCCGUCCGGUGGCGUAACGGUUAAGUUCGGGCGCUCCGCUUCAGCAGCCCAGGGUUCGCAGGUUUGGACCUAUGGUUUGGGGACCUGAUAUGUUUCCCUUCCAGUCAGAUCUUAAAUUUAAGAUAGGAGAGGGAAGGAGGUAUUAGCACAAUUAACCCUCCGAUAGUGGACUUGCAGCUCUCAGUGGAAGGUUUUCUUGGUGGUGGGGAAAAAGGGAGAAGAGCCUUCCCUUUGGUUCUCACGUCAGCCGGGGCACCGCGCCGCACCGGUCAGUACGGUUACCCGUGCUUGUCCUCCUUGCUCUCCGUUAACUCAGCGCCCAGUAAGGGCCGCACUGAGCCGAGCCCUGUGCAAGCAGCCCGUGGAGGGAGGGACUGUUGUUAUGUCCAGUGUAUUCAUCAGGACCUUCGGGUCAGAGAGGCCCCUGGGUGACACCACUGGCCAGGGCAAGGGCCUGGGUCACAAAUCCUCCUUCUGCCUGUCCCCCGACACCUGCCCCACCGCUGCCUCUGGGCCUGAAGUCACAGCAAGUAGCCCUCUUCUCUCCAGCUCGGAGCUCGCCCCCAGUGAUCCCUUUGGACAAACACCUGUCCGGUCUGGUCUCAAAGCUUAUGCCAAAUCAAGUUCUUGUUCUGCAGGUAGAGGCAGGGGAUGGAAAAAUCCACAGAUUCCACUUUGAAAAGAACUUCAAUUUGGGGGCAAGGGAGGGGUGGAAAGAGGAGAGGUAUAGGAAAUGAUUCAGAAACAGCUGAACUUUGAAAAACAGCAGAAAAAUCUCUCAGGCGCUGCAGAGCAGUGCAUUUUUAAAUGAAGCUGUGCCAAGGGACUGAAAAAUUGCUUAUGAGCAGAGGACAGCGGCCCAGGGAGCAGUUGAACUGACAGGGCCGACGGAACUGCUGGGAGCGCGGUUUCUUCAGAGGCAGCAAGAGAAACUCAGAGCGUGUUCUUCAUCACCGAAUUCCAGGAGGUCACCAAAUUCUACAGCAGCCCAAUAGUACGACCGCUAAAUAUGACAGGUCCCAGCUACAACAGCCACUAAGUACUACGGCCACUAAGUACUACAGACCCUAACUACUACGCCAGAGGGUCCUGUCACCUAUAGUUUCCCCUGCUAGUUCACCUUGGCUAUCCAGAGAAACUCGAGGAGGUGGAAGAAGCCUGGGCCUUAAUGUGGUGACCACAGGAACUCAGCACAGAUGCUGCUCUCAAAGCCCUCCCACUCUGUCUCACAGUGUUUCCCACAUGCCUGACCUAGUCAGAGGAGGAAGGGGCUGAGCUCUGACUGGGGCAUGUAGAGGCGCAGACAGCUUCUGAAAGGUAACCAGAGCCUUCUGCAGGCAGCAGGAUUUGUGAGGCUGCAGUUGGAGGGAGAGGUUGAGCUGUGAUGGAGCAACAGAAUGAGAGGAUCAGGAGACCGAGGUGAAAACAAAGGGAACAUGGACCUAAUCAACCUGCAAAAGUUAAUCAUUUAGGUUGUCUCCAGUUUCCACUGUCAUAAAAAGAAAAAAAUUGCAAUACAUGUCUUUGAUACCUACG